This 253-nucleotide ribosomal RNA is filed under the name uncultured prokaryote. RNAcentral's name for it is "partial 16S ribosomal RNA". It matches the Rfam family "Bacterial small subunit ribosomal RNA", at positions 524 to 776 of the family's 1533-position model. The record is from RNAcentral.
UACGGAGGGUGCAAGCGUUAAUCGGAAUUACUGGGCGUAAAGCGCGCGUAGGCGGCUGGGUAAGUCGAUUGUGAAAUCCCCGGGCUCAACCUGGGAAUUGCAGUCGAGACUGCCCGGCUAGAGUGUGGGAGAGGGUGGUGGAAUUCCCGGUGUAGCGGUGAAAUGCGUAGAGAUCGGAAAGAACACCAGUGGCGAAGGCGGCGACCUGGGUCUAAACUGACACUGAGGUGCGAAAGCGUGGGGAGCAAACAGG